RNAcentral lists this transfer RNA (77 nucleotides) under Enterobacteriaceae bacterium. RNAcentral describes it as "tRNA-Met". The record is from RNAcentral. Lineage: Bacteria; Pseudomonadati; Pseudomonadota; Gammaproteobacteria; Enterobacterales; Enterobacteriaceae.
GGCCGGAAGCUCAUGAGGUAUGAGCGGUCCCCUCAUAAGGGAAGGGCAGGAAGGUUCGAAUCCUCCGCGGCUCACCA